Molecule: ribosomal RNA, 235 nt
Filed under: uncultured Corynebacterium sp.
Lineage: Bacteria; Bacillati; Actinomycetota; Actinomycetes; Mycobacteriales; Corynebacteriaceae
Also listed under: 1 other name
Description: partial 16S ribosomal RNA
Rfam family: Bacterial small subunit ribosomal RNA
Source: RNAcentral
UGGCGAACGGGUGAGUAACACGUGGGUGAUCUGCCCUGCACUCUGGGAUAAGCCUGGGAAACUGGGUCUAAUACCGGAUAGGACCAUGCUUUAGUGUGUGUGGUGGAAAGUUUUUUCGGUGUAGGAUGAGCCCGCGGCCUAUCAGCUUGUUGGUGGGGUAAUGGCCUACCAAGGCGGCGACGGGUAGCCGGACUGAGAGGUUGGUCGGCCACAUUGGGACUGAGAUACGGCCCAG